Molecule: ribosomal RNA, 438 nt
Filed under: uncultured bacterium
Lineage: Bacteria
Description: partial 16S ribosomal RNA
Rfam family: Bacterial small subunit ribosomal RNA
Source: RNAcentral
CUACGGGAGGCACCAGUGAGGAAUAUUGCACAAUGGGGGGAACCCUGAUGCAGCAACGCCGCGUGGAGGAUGACGCAUUUCGGUGUGUAACUCCUUUUAUAUGUCAAGAAAAUGACGGUAGCAUAUGAAUAAGCGCCGGCUAACUCCGUGCCAGCAGCCGCGGUAAUACGGAGGGCGCAAGCGUUACUCGGAAUCACUGGGCGUAAAGGACGCGUAGGCGGGUUGAAAAGUCAGGUGUGAAAGCCUACAGCUUAACUGUAGAACUGCACUUGAAACUCUCAACCUAGAGUAUGGGAGGGGCAGAUGGAAUUAGUGGUGUAGGGGUAAAAUCCGUAGAUAUCACUAGGAAUACCUAAAGCGAAGGCGAUCUGCUGGAACAUUACUGACGCUAAGGCGUGAAAGCGUGGGGAGCAAACAGGAUUAGAUACCCUUGUAGUC